GCCUGGGUGGCUCAGUCGGUUAAGUGUCUGACUUCGGCUCAGGUCAUGGUCUCACGGUUCGUGGGUUCGAGCCCCGCGUCGGGCU
This 85-nucleotide transfer RNA is filed under the name Felis catus (domestic cat). It matches the Rfam family "tRNA". From Rfam's summary of the family: Transfer RNA (tRNA) molecules are approximately 80 nucleotides in length. Their secondary structure includes four short double-helical elements and three loops (D, anti-codon, and T loops). Further hydrogen bonds mediate the characteristic L-shaped molecular structure. tRNAs have two regions of fundamental functional importance: the anti-codon, which is responsible for specific mRNA codon recognition, and the 3' end, to which the tRNAs corresponding amino acid is attached (by aminoacyl-tRNA synthetases). tRNAs cope with the degeneracy of the genetic code in two manners: having more than one tRNA (with a specific anti-codon) for a particular amino acid; and 'wobble' base-pairing, i.e. permitting non-standard base-pairing at the 3rd anti-codon position. The record is from Rfam by way of RNAcentral. Lineage: Eukaryota; Metazoa; Chordata; Mammalia; Carnivora; Felidae.